UUGUGAUUUAAAAAUUAGGACAACUAGACUAUUUGUGGACAGAUGAAUAAUCAUUAAAAAAUUUCAUCAAUAUGUUGUAUUUUAAAAUAAUUUUCUUAAAAACUGCUAUUUUUAGAAAGUUUUUAUUUUUUAGAAAAAUAUUGUAGAUUUGGUUUUGUGAUUUAAAAAUUAGGACAACUAGACUAUUUGUGGACAGAUGAAUAAUCAUUAAAAAAUUUCAUCAAUAUGUUGUAUUUUAAAAUAAUUUUCUUAAAAACUGCUAUUUUUAGAAAGUUUUUAUUUUUUAGAAAAAUAUUGUAGAUUUGGUUUUGUGAUUUAAAAAUUAGGACAACUAGACUAUUUGUGGACAGAUGAAUAAUCAUUAAAAAAUUUCAUCAAUAUGUUGUAUUUUAAAAUAAUUUUCUUAAAAACUGCUAUUUUUAGAAAGUUUUUAUUUUUUAGAAAAAUAUUAUAGAUUUAGGUUUGUGAUUUAGAAAUUAGGACAACAAGAAUAUUUGUGGAUAGAUCGGUAUUCUUUCGGAGUUUUUCAUCAACAGUUUCUAUUUUUAAAUAAUUUUCUUAAAAACUGCUAUUUUUGAAAAUUUUUCAUUUUUAGAGAAAUAUUAUAGAUUUGGGUUUGUGAUUUAGAAAUUAGGACAACAAGAAUAUUUGUGGAUAGAUGAGUAUUCUUUCGGAGUUUUUCAUUAGUAGGUUGUAUUUUUGAAUAAUUUUCUUUAAAUCUGCUAUUUUUGGAAAGUUUUCAUUAUUAGAGAAAUAUUAUAGAGUUGGGUAUGUGAUUUAGAAAUUAGGAUAAUUAGAAUAUUUUUGGAUAGACGAAUACUCUUUAAGAAAUUUUCAUCAAUAUGUUGUAUUUUUAAAUAAUUUUCUUAAAAACUGCUAUUUUAAGAAAAAAAUUAUUUUUUAGAGAAAUAUUAUAGAUUUAGGUUUGUGAUUUAGAAAUUAGGACAACUAGACUAUUUGUGGACAGAUGAAUAAUUUUUAAGAAUUUUUCAUCAAUAUGUCGUAUUUUUAAAUAAUUUUCUUAAAAACUGCAACUUUUAGAAAGUUUUAAUUUUUUAGAGAAAUAUUAUAGGUUUGAGUUUUGUGAUUUAGAAAUUAGGACAACAAGAAUAUUUGUUGAUAGAUGGGUAUUCUUUCGGAGUUUUUCAUCAACAGUUUUGUUUUCAAAUAAUUUUCUUAAAUACUGUUAUUUUUCGAAAAAUUUCAUUUUUAGAGAAAUAUUAUAGAUUUGGGUUUGUGAUUUAGAAAUUAGGACAACAAGAAUAUUUGUUGAUAGAUGGGUAUUCUUUCGGAGUUUUUCAUCAACAGUUUUGUUUUCAAAUAAUUUUCUUAAAUACUGUUAUUUUUCGAAAAAUUUCAUUUUUAGAGAAAUAUUAUAGAUUUGGGUUUGUGAUUUAGAAAUUAGUACAAAAAGAAUAUUUGUGGAUAGAUGAGUAUUCUUUCGGAUUUUUUCAUCAAUAGGUUGUAUUUUUGAAUAAUUUUCUUAAAAACUACUAUGUUUUUAAAAGUUUUCAUUUUUUAGAGAAAUAUUGUAGAUUUGGGUUUGUGAUUUAAAAAUUAAGACAAUUAGACUAUUUGUGGACAGAUGAAUAAUCUUUAAGAAAUUUUCAUCAAUAUGUUGUAUUUUUAAAUAAUUUUUCUCAAAAACUGCUAUUUUUGGAAAA
RNAcentral lists this long non-coding RNA (1664 nucleotides) under Brassica napus (rape). RNAcentral describes it as "long non-coding RNA (BNAP_LNC025113)". Lineage: Eukaryota; Viridiplantae; Streptophyta; Magnoliopsida; Brassicales; Brassicaceae. The record is from RNAcentral.